CACACCGCCCGUCACACCAUGGGAGUUGGCUUUACCCGAAGGCGGUGCGCUAACCAGCAAUGGAGGCAGCCGACCACGGUAGGGUCAGCGACAGGGGUG
RNAcentral lists this ribosomal RNA (99 nucleotides) under uncultured bacterium. Its description in RNAcentral is "partial 16S ribosomal RNA". It matches the Rfam family "Bacterial small subunit ribosomal RNA", at positions 1386 to 1482 of the family's 1533-position model. The record is from RNAcentral.